GACGAACGCUGGCGGCGUGCUUAACACAUGCAAGUCGAACGGAAAGGCCCUGCUUUUGUGGGGUGCUCGAGUGGCGAACGGGUGAGUAACACGUGAGUAACCUGCCCUUGACUUUGGGAUAACUUCAGGAAACUGGGGCUAAUACCGGAUAGGAGCUCCUGCUGCAUGGUGGGGGUUGGAAAGUUUCGGCGGUUGGGGAUGGACUCGCGGCUUAUCAGCUUGUUGGUGGGGUAGUGGCUUACCAAGGCUUUGACGGGUAGCCGGCCUGAGAGGGUGACCGGCCACAUUGGGACUGAGAUACGGCGCAGACUCCUACGGGAGGCAGCAGUGGGGAAUAUUGCACAAUGGGCGGAAGCCGGAUGCAGCAACGCCGCGUGCGGGAUGACGGCCUUCGGGUUGUAAACCGCUUUCGCCUGUGACGAAGCGUGAGUGACGGUAAUGGGUAAAGAAGCACCGGCUAACUACGUG
RNAcentral lists this ribosomal RNA (468 nucleotides) under uncultured bacterium. RNAcentral describes it as "partial 16S ribosomal RNA". It matches the Rfam family "Bacterial small subunit ribosomal RNA", at positions 28 to 507 of the family's 1533-position model. The record is from RNAcentral.